AGCAGCCGCGGUAAUUCCAGCUCCAAUAGCGUAUAUUAAAGUUGUUGCAGUUAAAAAGCUCGUAGUUGAAUUUCGGGGUCAGUAGGUUGGUCAUGCCACUGGUAUGUACUGGUCUCACUGAUUCCUCCUUCCUGAUGAGCCGUAAUGCCAUUAAUUUGGUGUUGCGAGGAAUCUGGACUGUUACUUUGAAAAAAUUAGAGUGUUUAAAGCAAGCUAACGCUUGAAUACAUUAGCAUGGAAUAAUGAAAUAGGACGUUCGAUCCUAUUUUGUUGGUUUCUAGGAUUGACGUAAUGAUUAAUAGGGAUAGUUGGGGGCAUUAGUAUUCAAUUGUCAGAGGUGAAAUUCUUGGAUUUAUUGAAGACUAACUACUGCGAAAGCAUUUGCCAAGGAUGUUUUCAUUAAUCAAGAACGAAAGUUAGGGGAUCGAAGACGAUCAGAUACCGUCGUAGUCUUAACCAUAAACUAUGCCGACUAGGGAUCGGAUGAUGUAAUUUUUAAUGACUCAUUC
Molecule: ribosomal RNA, 509 nt
Filed under: uncultured Glomus
Lineage: Eukaryota; Fungi; Glomeromycota; Glomeromycetes; Glomerales; Glomeraceae
Description: SSU rRNA
Rfam family: Eukaryotic small subunit ribosomal RNA
Source: RNAcentral